UGUGUCCUGUAAAAAAAUUAGCUUAUGUCCCCAUGUGGGUAUAUGCAAAUGUGUAUACAAACAUAUCCCCCUAGGUGAGCUAAACACUAUUCUGGAAAUAGUAUCCUCUACCCAAAUCUACUUGGCUAUAUCUGUGGAUAGUGUAUGGUGUGUGUAUUUAUCCAAUUUACAUAAAAGAAAGCUCCUGGCCAAAUCUACCAAAGCGUUUUCCAGGAGGAAGUCUGGUGGGAGGCAGGGAGAGGAAAGACAUUCAUCUCAGUCUUUCACCUGAGCUUUUGUACAAGGCAGGCAAAUUGCCUCCUGACCUCAGGCAGAUGUUUAAGUCUUCACCAACUAAGAAAGCUCUGUUAUUCUGGCCUGGGUGCUUGCUCCAGACUCAGGAACAUCUGGUCAACACAAGCAUCACUGGGCUGGGG
Molecule: long non-coding RNA, 416 nt
Filed under: Homo sapiens (human)
Lineage: Eukaryota; Metazoa; Chordata; Mammalia; Primates; Hominidae
Description: non-protein coding lnc-LARGE1-8:1
Source: RNAcentral